This 78-nucleotide small nucleolar RNA is filed under the name Capsicum annuum. The record is from RNAcentral. Lineage: Eukaryota; Viridiplantae; Streptophyta; Magnoliopsida; Solanales; Solanaceae.
UUUGGCAGAUGAUGAUAUAUUAUGUAAAUGCUGAAUAAUCAUGUCGAUUAUUUACUCCGCUUAUUAUCUGAUGCCAUU